Molecule: ribosomal RNA, 520 nt
Filed under: Truncatella pfeifferi
Lineage: Eukaryota; Metazoa; Mollusca; Gastropoda; Littorinimorpha; Truncatellidae
Description: partial 16S ribosomal RNA
Rfam family: Bacterial large subunit ribosomal RNA
Source: RNAcentral
AAAAACAUGGCUCUUUGAAUUUUUAGUAUAAAGAGUCGAGCCUGCCCAGUGACAAAGUUUAACGGCCGCGGUACUCUGACCGUGCAAAGGUAGCAUAAUCAUUUGCCCUGUAAUUGAGGGCUAGUAUGAAUGGUUUGACAAGAGCAAAACUGUCUCCUUAAAAUUUAUUAGAAUUUAGUUUUUAGGUGAAGAAACCUAAAUAAAAUUGAAAGACAAGAAGACCCUAUCGAGCUUUAAAAAAUUUUACUAAAAAAUGUAUAUUAGUUAAUCAGUUUUAAUAAAAAAUUUUGGUUGGGGCGACUAAGGAACAAAAAAAGCUUCCUUCAAUUUCAAAGACCUAUAAGUUUUGAUCCAGAAAAUUUUGAUUAAAAGAAUUAGUUACCGUAGGGAUAACAGCAUAAUCUUCUUUGAGAGUUCUUAUCGAAAAGAAGGUUUGUGACCUCGAUGUUGGACUAGGAUAUCCUAGAGAUGUAGAAGUCUUUAAGGGUUGGUCUGUUCGACCAUUAAAAUCCUACGUGAU